CAGCACCUCAAGUGGUCAGGAUGAUUAUUGGGCCUAAAGCAUCCGUAGCCGGCGCUGUAAGUUUUCGGUUAAAUCUGUACGCUCAACGUAUGGGCUGCCGGGAAUACUGCAAAGCUAGGGAGUGGGAGAGGUAGACGGUACUCGGUAGGAAGGGGUAAAAUCCUUUGAUCUAUUGAUGACCACCUGUGGCGAAGGCGGUCUACCAGAACACGUCCGACGGUGAGGGAUGAAAGCUGGGGGAGCAAUCCGGAUUAGAUACCCGAGUAGUCC
RNAcentral lists this ribosomal RNA (270 nucleotides) under uncultured archaeon. Its description in RNAcentral is "partial 16S ribosomal RNA". It matches the Rfam family "Archaeal small subunit ribosomal RNA", at positions 477 to 747 of the family's 1478-position model. The record is from RNAcentral.